GAUGAAGAACGCAGCGAAAUGCGAUACUUGGUGUGAAUUGCAGAAUCCCGUGAACCAUCGAGUCUUUGAACGCAAGUUGCGCGUCAAGCCAUUAGGUUGAGGGCACGUCUGCCUGGGCGUCACAUAUCGUUGCCUGAUGCCAGUUUCCUCGUGAUGGGUGACUGUGCAGGGCGAAUGAUGGGUUCCCGUGAGCAUUGUUGCCUCAUGGUUGGUUGAAAAUUGAGUCCUUGGUAGGGAGCGCCGUGAUAGAUGGUGGUUGAGUGACGAACGAGACCCAAUCAUGUGAGACCCCUACCGAAUUUGGCCUUCAUGACCCACAUGCGUCUUUGGAACGCUCAUGACGAGACCUCAGGUCAGGCGGGGCUACCCGCUGAGUUUAAGCAUAUCAAUAAGCGGAGGA
Molecule: unclassified non-coding RNA, 400 nt
Filed under: soil metagenome
Description: partial contains 5.8S ribosomal RNA, internal transcribed spacer 2, and large subunit ribosomal RNA
Rfam family: 5.8S ribosomal RNA (bases 1-122)
Source: RNAcentral